AUCCUCCCUUUGGCAGCGUAUAUACUAAAAUUAGAAUGAUAGAGAGAAGAUUACCAUGUGCAAGGAUGACACACACGAAAAUUUGUAAAGCAUUCCAAAUUUUU
This 104-nucleotide small nuclear RNA is filed under the name Nannospalax galili (Upper Galilee mountains blind mole rat). The record is from RNAcentral. Lineage: Eukaryota; Metazoa; Chordata; Mammalia; Rodentia; Spalacidae.